RNAcentral lists this long non-coding RNA (5315 nucleotides) under Taeniopygia guttata (zebra finch). Its description in RNAcentral is "lncRNA (ENSTGUG00000026418.1)". The record is from RNAcentral. Lineage: Eukaryota; Metazoa; Chordata; Aves; Passeriformes; Estrildidae.
AAAAAAAUCGUGGUUGCUGUGAAACAUUAGAGAUUCUCAGUCAUUUUGAAGCCUGGUAAUACAGUAUUUCUGAGGUAAACUUUCCCAGAUGUUUUGUACUUCCCAUAUGAAAUAUUCAUGAAAGAAUGAAAAAGCACCCUCAGUCAAGAUGUAUUAGGUUGUCACUACUAAUUGCAGUAGACAUGUUAGUUUGUUGCACUGAGAAAAUCACUCCAGCAUAAAGUCAGAGGCUUCUAAAUGGAAAUCAGUUCAGGUAACUUCAUUUUGGCUUUUUUAAGAUUUUUCUUAAAAGCUGGGAAGAGUAACAAACAAAGAGAUCUAAGCAGGCAGUGGAAAGAACCCUGGGCAAUCGGUGGAGAUAACUUUUUUAAAACAUCUCUAUUCUGAACACAGGACAAAGCAAGGAAAGCUUGUGCUAGGCCAAGCUAGAGACAUCAAAAAUGAGGCGAAUGAGAAUUUCAAUUGUCACAGUUGGACUUUUUGCCACCAUUGAGUCUAUGCUGUAAAACCUGAACUGUGCAAUGUUGGUUUAAAAUAGAGACCUUUCAGAGGCUAAGGGAACAUGCCAGUUGCUACAGUAAUGGAAGGGCUCAAGCUGUGCUAAACAAGGUGAAAGCACAAGAUUUUAUUUGCUAUGAAGGUGAUUGCAGAAGUGAUGAAAACAGAUAAAAAGUAAAAACUCUAAGUAGCAGAGCUGUUGUUGUGUAUUGAGCAGGAAGUGGUAUGGUGGUUUGCAAAUAAAAGUCACUAUGAAGAAUUGAGAGUUUACUUCAGGUCAGCUUGUAGAUUUGUCGAGUACUUGUCAGUUUUGAUUGCAAUUUACUUCAAAAAAUUACUAUCUUGUGCAGGAGAUAGUGGUGGAAAUAUCUGUUUGGCUUAGUCUUUGCUUUUUUUCUGUUGUCUGAGACUCAGCAAAACAACUGGUUGGUGAAAUAUUAAAGGCCAUAAUUACACUAUUGUGCUUUGGCAUUAUUUUCCUGCCUCUCCUGUCUUGAUUUUUAAGGGCUAAAAGGAGCUUGACUGACAAGAUGUUGUCUUGACUGCAGUAAUUAAUCUGUUUUGCAGCAUUCAGACUGCUAGCCCCUAAAGAGGGCUAGCAGUCUGGAUAUGAGAGGAUGCUGGUGACUAAGUUCAAUCAAGUGGAUGCCUUAGUUCUGAGAGCUUCAGCAGAGGUACCGUUUUGCUUCAUUAUGCACAUAAACAGACACCUUGAAUGAAUGGCCCUGCCCAUCUUUUGACAGUGUCUUUGCUGGCAGGUGGAUGGUAUUAUAUCAUUGGGCCUUAGGACAGCAAAGGAAAGAACAUCAAGACAUCAAGAAGUGGUGCAAGAGUUAUUCAUUUAACUUCAGUUAAGAAAACUGAGCAUCCACUCUAAGUAGGAUUGAUUAUUUGCCCUGGUUUUUUUUGGUUUUUUUUUAAUCCAGGGACCAGAUCUCCUUCAGAAAGCUGGAGAUCAUGAAAGAGUUUUAUUUGUAAAGCCAUUAAGAUGAUGGUUUGCAAAGUUCUUCAAUCAAAUCAAAACUUCCACAAGAAGGUGCCUCAAAAGAGAUAAUCGUAACAUUAUUUUUCCAGGCUUCUGCAGGUACUAUGCUUUAAACAAGCACUUUCUUGUAUGUACAGGAGGCCUGGAUAUGUGCAGAACAUCAACAUUAAAAAGAGCCAACAAAGCUGACUGCUUGUGGAGGUAAAAUAAAAUACUAAAGUUACAGUAUUCUUUGGAUUCCCAGUAAGAUGAAUCAUCCAUUCCUCACUUUUAAAGAUGUACUUCAUGGACGACAAAAAUACUCCUUGAAACCAAUCCUUUCAUCAUCUGAAGCUUAUUUUUUCAUUGACACAUCAGAACAAGAGGAAGUGUCAUUGUUUAGAGAUUACAUAUUUGUCAUAUCUAAGGAAGGAUCAAAAGCAAGUUACAGUUCCUUCUGGCUUUCUCCCAGGCUAGAAUUUUCUAUUUUCAGUAUGUGCAGAAAUGUGUUCUAUUUUCAGAAAUGUGCAGAAAGCUGUUUCUUUCAGCUUACAAUAUAGACAUCUUUGGUAUAUGAAUCAAAUUAAAUAACCAGUGGCAUCCCAAUUUCUUUUAGCAGAAAGUAAUGACUGUGAGGAGGAAGCUCAUUAUUAAUCACCUAAAAGAAUGUGAAAGAAUGGCUUUCCGAAUGGAGAAACCAAGGAGGAACUUCAGAGAUCUGAGUCAACUUCAAGUCCAACAUUUUUUGAUCUAUGGCUAUGUAUGUAUUGGCAAGUAAGGGAGAGUGUGGAGCAAUCAGUGGUGAGGACUGAGCCAGAACUCUGAUUUUAUGUUGGUUUCUUUUUUUUUACUGCUCUAUUUGGGCUUACAUCCCCUAUUUAACUCUAGUUAUAUAUCAUGGCCUAACUGUGCAUUAGCAGUUGGAGAGCAUUAGUUGUGCUCUUGGAACAAAGUUUACCAUUUAGUCUCACCCAAAGAAAUGAAGUUCAUGCACUCUAAGACUCACUUCAUGAAGUGAUUUAUUAAAAAAUGGCAAUGCAAGUGGAUCCAUUGACUUCUGCAGAGAGAAGUCACUUCUUUCUCCUCUGUAGGGUAAGUCUUGCACAGAUCAAUCCUUCCCACAACUGCAACAACUACAGUAAUGGUGGGUAGAAACUGAGCAAGAUAGUUCAGUCUGGAAGAGCCAGUGUCCUUUCUUCAAGGCUGGUGUGCAGGUCCUUGCUCCUAGCCUACUGCCUUAGGCAGUUGCUUCCUUAUCUUAUUUUUCAAACCAAGGUUGCCCAUGUAAUUGACUUAUUUUUAUAACUCGGAGUAAAUAAUUGGAUUCUUAAAUCAGUACUGCUGUGGUUGAACUGAUAGGAAAUGUAAUAAUCCAUAUAAUUUAUACUAUUCUAUAUAAUUUUAUGAGGGUUUGCCUAUCAUCCCUGGAAUUACAAAAUCAACAUGAUUUCAGUGAUUGUCUUGUAAGGUCCAAAGGGCAAAACUCAUUCUUUCAUAGAUGAGGUAAUUCCCUGUUUUAUAAGAAACUCAUCCUUUUCACCUUCAUACAGAUUCUUAUGGUUUAAAAUGUUCAAAUAUAUAAAUAUUGAUUCCCCGAACUCCAAAUUUUCUGAAUUUCACAGGUCAAAUAUUGAGUGACUGAGUUUUGUUUAAUAUUCACUUGAAUCAAAUCCUUCACUAAAAUAUUUUGUCAACAUUCCAGUUACCUUUUAAAUUUAAAUUUCUGUGUACCUCCACACACCCAAGUUCUCUGUAAGUGUAAGUUUACCGCAAUGAAAGCUCGCUGACACAAUUUAUGUAUUUUUUUUUUCAGUAUAACUGAAGCUAUAGGUUAGUUUUUUAAAAAUUUGUUUGAAUUUAGAAAACAAUCUCUGGUCAACUGCAGUUCAGAUAUUUCUAUAAGUAGCCUGUUUAGUAAUAUAAGUAAUUUGUUUGGAGUUGUGUCUAGUAAAGAAGAAUGAGGUACAUAUUGUGUUUUUAUGGAGUUUAUAACCAUAUAAGUUAUACAGGAGAUAUUAGAAGUUGAUCUUAUUUUUCAGCUAGAGAAUGGAGUCUCUUGAAGUCUCCUACAAGCAUUGGUUUUGUGAUUUUAUUGAACAAAUAAUUUUGAGAUGUCAGGUCCACAGAAGUGGUUUGUAAAGGACUGAAAAAUGAAUUUUCUUCAGCCUUCUGAAGUAGUCACCACCCUAUAAAAGAAUCUCUAAUUGUGUAUUUCUCAAUCAUCUAGGAAACAAAGCAAAAGGGAAAAAAAAAAAAAGAUGUUGCACUUUGUACUUUUCUACCCAUAAAUAGAAUUUGAGAAUAUGGCGUUUUACUACUGUUUAUCACUGAAAGGUACAGAAUAUAGUCAAGCUAUUCAUUAUUUUAUGCAUCCUUACAUAUGUGUGUUCACAUUUGACAACCUCGUGUAGAAUGAUGGAGAGCUGGAGGCUGGAAGGAAAUCCUUCUUUUUUAAUAUAAAUUCUUUGUCCAAGCUUACUGUCCCUUCACUGACUUGCUAGUAAAAGGAUUUUUCCUCUCAAAUAUUUAUAAUUUGGCUGUUUUUUCAUUUAGCUUUUUAGGCAAAAGGCCAAAAAGGGGAUAGAAUAGCCAAAAAAUGUAAACAGGACUACAAGCUUCCCUCAUAUUCCACUGUAUUGGUUGCUCAAAAAAUAACAGACUGAAUCAUUAGCUUUGUUUGCAUUUGCCAGGGCUAUUUUUCACAAUUAAUUAGCCCAAAACACUUAUCAGCUAAUUGUUUUAAAAUGAGUCACUUCACCAUUCUCUUUCCAGAUAAAGAGCUGAAGAAAUGAUGAAGGGUGGUGAUCAACACUAAUGCAUUUCACAAAUGAUAUACAGCUGAUGAAACAACUUAUUGCAGUCAACUGGUCUUAGUGUCUGCUGCACGCACUACAGUUCAUCCUGAACUCAUCAUAAUCUCUUCUUGAGCAGGAACAUGCUGGAAGGUAAGCAGACAAAUGUAAAAGUAUAGAAUCUGGAUGAAGCUUUCCUCUGUUCCAGCAAAGGCUGUGGCUGAGUGGAUGAUUUCACUGCAUUUCAUCUUCAGGGGUGAGACCUUAUGGCUCUGGUGUGCAGAAACAUAAUUUAUCUUGCUAUGCAAGCAGCCCGUUGUUUACAUAUGAAUGUGCUCUGGAAAAUGACACAAUCUUGUUCAAAGAACAGGAUGUCUCCAAGUCUGUGUCUCCAGAAAUGUUGUAACAGAUAUCUGAUCUAUAACUGUAUAAAAUCUAAACUUCAUAAGAGUAUGAAGUAUUUUAAAAUCUACUUGUCCAUAAUGAAAUUCAGAACAGUCCAACCAUUUUCUUCAUUAAAGAAAUAGUUGGAGUUUUGUGCUGUUCAGCAAAAAAAGGAUGAAGAACUAGAAAUAAAUAAGGCAGGGAAGAAGAAAUGAGGUGAAACAGGGGUAAGAAAUCACAGUAUGAAGAGAGAAGAGGGGAAUAAUAAAAAGCAAGGAAAAAGAGACAAGUAAUACAAUGAAAUAAUACCAAAAAUACAUUUUCAGCAAUGUAUAAAUUAUUAUCUAUAAGCAUUUAUAAAUGUAAAACUAUUUUUUCUCUCUAAAAAAUACACUAAAUAUUAAGUAAAAGACUGUAGGAAGUAAGUUAUAAUGUAAGAUCCAAUGUAAGCAAAAUAACUUUGGAAAUAUUAUAAAUAAAACAACUUAUAAAUACAAAUAAAAUAUUUUAAAACGUCAAAGUGCAUAGUGUAACAAUUAAGAAAGUUGAGCCACAGGUUUCAUGCUUUGUUGUCUUUCAGAGACCUAAAAAUAAUUCUGAUUUUUUGAGGCAAGACUUUGGGGGUUCUCACCUGCAUGGAAAUUGUGGUAGAAUUGGAGAAAGAAAAAAAAAAAAAA